Molecule: small RNA, 26 nt
Filed under: Bombyx mori (domestic silkworm)
Lineage: Eukaryota; Metazoa; Arthropoda; Insecta; Lepidoptera; Bombycidae
Description: ovarian small RNA-36754
Source: RNAcentral
UUAGUGGUGUUAGGUAACGUAAUGUU